CCUACGGGUGGCAGCAGUGGGGGAUAUUGCACAAUGGGGGGAACCCUGAUGCAGCGACGCCGCGUGGGUGAAGGAGCGUUUCGGCGCGUAAAGCCCUAUCGGCAGGGAAGAAGAUGACGGUACCUGACCAAGAAGCCCCGGCUAACUACGUGACAGCUGCCGCGGUAAUAAGUGGGGGGCAAGCGUUAUCCGGAUUUACUGGGUGUAACGGGGGCGCAGAGGGCAAUGCAAGCCAGGCGUGAAAGCCCGGGGCCCAACCCCGGGACUGCGCUUGGAACUGGAUGGCUGGAGUACAUGAGGGGCAGGCGGAAUGCCUGGUGUAGCGGUGAAAUGCAUAGAUAUUAGGAGGAACACCGGUGGCGAAGGCAGCCUGCUGGACUGUGACUGACGUUGAGGCCCGAAGGCGUGGGGAGCAAACAGGAUUAGAUACCCGAGUAGUC
RNAcentral lists this ribosomal RNA (440 nucleotides) under uncultured bacterium. Its description in RNAcentral is "partial 16S ribosomal RNA". It matches the Rfam family "Bacterial small subunit ribosomal RNA", at positions 338 to 795 of the family's 1533-position model. The record is from RNAcentral.